GACGAACGCUGGCGGCGUGCUUAACACAUGCAAGUCGAACGGAAAGGCCUGCUUUCCCUUGUGGAUUGCGGGUACUCGAGUGGCGAACGGGUGAGUAACACGUGAGUGAUCUGCCCCCAACUUGGGUAUAAGCCUGGGAAACUGGGUCUAAUUCCCGAUAGGACUGCAGGGUGGUGCCUGUGGUGGAAAACGAUUUUCUAGUGGUUGGGGAUGAGCUCGCGGCCUAUCAGCUUGUUGGUGGGGUAAUGGCCUACCAAGGCGGCGACGGGUAGCCGGCCUGAGAGGGUGGACGGCGACAUUGGGACUGAGAUACGGCCCAGACUGCUACGGGAGGCAGCAGUGGGGAAUAUUGCACAAUGGGCGGAAGCCUGAUGCAGCGACGCAGCGUGGGGGAUGACGGCCUUCGGGUUGUAAACUCCUUUCGACCGCGAGGAAGCCACCUGGUUGGAAGGGUGGUGACGGUAGUGGUAGAAGAAGCACCGGCUAACUACGUG
RNAcentral lists this ribosomal RNA (494 nucleotides) under uncultured bacterium. RNAcentral's name for it is "partial 16S ribosomal RNA". It matches the Rfam family "Bacterial small subunit ribosomal RNA", at positions 28 to 507 of the family's 1533-position model. The record is from RNAcentral.